Molecule: ribosomal RNA, 254 nt
Filed under: uncultured bacterium
Lineage: Bacteria
Description: partial 16S ribosomal RNA
Rfam family: Bacterial small subunit ribosomal RNA
Source: RNAcentral
UACAGAGACUGCAAGCGUUAUUCGGAUUCACUGGGCGUAAAGGGUGCGCAGGCGGCCGUGUGUGUGAGGCGUGAAAGCCCGGAGCUCAACUCCGGAAUUGCACCUCAAACUACACGGCUAGAGCAUUGGAGAGGGUAGCGGAAUUCACGGUGUAGCAGUGAAAUGCGUAGAUAUCGUGAGGAACACCAGAGGCGAAGGCGGCUACCUGGACAAUUGCUGACGCUCAGGCACGAAAGCGUGGGGAGCAAAAAGGG